CCGGGUUCCCGGCGCCCCGCCUUCCCCAAUGCCCAUAAAAGCGCAUGUCCCCGUCUCGGUAGCCACUGGACACCUGCAUCUGCCAACAAGACCGGAAGCAGAAAGUGACAAAGACGGCGAAGUUUGACAGUCUGGAAAGCGGAGACCAGACGGGCUGACUACCUGAGAGCACCGCGACUCCGGACAGCGCCUCUCGGGGUCCGGGAUGGGCCCCGCUAUCUGCUUCAGCACCGUGGCUGCGGACAGCUCCUGGCGGAGGCCCGGGGCCCCCGACUUCGUUUCAGCACCCGGACAGCGGACAGCUCCCCGAGGUACCCAGGAGCCCCUGUGCCUUGAUGGGUGGUCAGAGGUGCCCGGCGCUUUUGGAGACUUGCCCCUCAUGGAAUGGAUUUUUCCACGAAUUAUUUUCCAGAUAAUAAGCAGGCGCGAUGAAACCGCACGUAGAAAUCUGUAAUUUCCAGCAGGUGAGAUGUCCAGUCGGUAGGAGUGUGGGUGAAUGGGCGCCUGCCAAGAUGACACUGUUGUGCUCUUUCCAGACUUCCGUGAGAAGCAUUGUGCCAAGCGUUUUGCAUAGAUUCUAUCAUGCCAUCUGCAAUCCUAGGACACGGGUGUUAUGAUGCCCAGGACCAGGAAUGGAAAACAGGAGGCGGUGGAGAAGCAAGAAGCCCGGGUGUUCCGGCUUGGCUCAGUUCCAGGGGCCAGUUACAGGACAGCUGUCCACUCGUGCCUGGUAGUUGUGGCAUCAUCAACGCCCACCCCAAAUUCUCUGUGACAUCCUAAUGAAGUCCAGAGACACCACGUCAAGCUCGUUCCAGCCUCAGAGUGCAUGCCUUUGCUGUUCCCUCAGCUUGGAAUGCUCUGCUCCCCAAGCACCCCAAGGCUCCCUCCGCCUUCUUAUCCAAGCCUCAGGUCACCAAGAGAAUCUUGUCUCCCCGCUCCCCCCCAUAGCAAGUCUAUAUUACACAUUCUCAUAGACACGGGAAAUCUUCUCUCUGGCACAUAGUCCAAUUCUUUGGUCUUAUCUGUUUACAGGGCUGUCUGUCUCCCCCCACUACACUGUGAGCCCCAUGAGGACAGAGACUGUGUUUGUAUUUUCCCAGCACUCAUGCAUGGCCUUGCACACAGCAGGUGCUCAAUAAAUGUUUGUUGAAUCAGUAAAGGCAUCAGAGGAUAAAACAACGUAUCAGUCAAUAAAGGAAUUGAUGGUUUCAGCAUGCA
Molecule: long non-coding RNA, 1218 nt
Filed under: Equus asinus (donkey)
Lineage: Eukaryota; Metazoa; Chordata; Mammalia; Perissodactyla; Equidae
Description: lncRNA (ENSEASG00005032272.1)
Source: RNAcentral